GGGCCCGCACAAGCGGUGGAGCAUGUGGUUUAAUUCGAUGCAACGCGAAGAACCUUACCUACUCUUGACAUCCAGAGAACUUUUCAGAGAUGAAUUGGUGCCUUCGGGAACUCUGAGACAGGUGCUGCAUGGCUGUCGUCAGCUCGUGUUGUGAAAUGUUGGGUUAAGUCCCCGCAAGAUGCGCAACCCACGUCUUUAGGUUGCCAGCAUUUAGUUGGGCACUCUAGAGAGACUGCCGGUGAUAAACCGGAGGAAGGUGUGGAUGACGUCAAGUCAUCAUGCCCCUUACAUCCUGGGCUACACACGUGCUACAAUGGCCGGUACAGAGAGCAGCCACUACGCGAGUAGGAG
Molecule: ribosomal RNA, 351 nt
Filed under: uncultured bacterium
Lineage: Bacteria
Description: bacterial SSU rRNA
Rfam family: Bacterial small subunit ribosomal RNA
Source: RNAcentral